CAAAACAUGCCAUAGUAUUCAGGAGCACCUGAAUAUUCCUACUCUCUCCGUUGUUGCUAGCGUGCGCAGGGGAGCAUCGGCGCACGCUAAAAAAAGGUAAAACUAGAGGGAGGUGAGGUGCUCAUCAUAGCCACCAUUGUAGGGAGCUCGCAGGUCGGACUGUGGACCAUUCGAUCAAGCUUGUCUCCUGUCAUUCGAGAAACAUAAAUUAUAUAUUUUUAGGGUUUUCGGAUCGAUUCUUCAAUGGCUGCUCCACCUGCAAGGGCUAGAGCCGAUUACGAUUACC
Camellia sinensis is the source of this 286-nucleotide non-coding RNA. The record is from RefSeq and is a predicted model, not a curated record. NCBI's taxonomy places the organism in Eukaryota, Viridiplantae, Streptophyta, Magnoliopsida, Ericales, Theaceae.